Molecule: ribosomal RNA, 496 nt
Filed under: uncultured bacterium
Lineage: Bacteria
Description: partial 16S ribosomal RNA
Rfam family: Bacterial small subunit ribosomal RNA
Source: RNAcentral
GACGAACGCUGGCGGCGUGCCUAAUACAUGCAAGUUGAGCGAUGAAGCUUGGUGCUUGCACCAAUUUGAAGAGCAGCGAACGGGUGAGUAACGCGUGGGGAAUCUGCCUUUGAGCGGGGGACAACAUUUGGAAACGAAUGCUAAUACCGCAUAACAACUUUAAACAUAAGUUUAAGUUUUAAAGAUUCAAUUGGCACAACCAAAGGAUAACCCGAGUUGUAUUUGCUAGUUGGUGAGGUAAAGGCUCACCAAGGCGAUGAUACAUAGCCGACCUGAGAGGGUGAUCGGCCACAUUGGGACUGAGACACGGCCCAAACUCCUACGGGAGGCAGCAGUAGGGAAUCUUCGGCAAUGGACGAAAGUCUGACCGAGCAACGCCGCGUGAGUGAAGAAGGUUUUCGGAUCGUAAAACUCUGUUGGUAGAGAAGAACGUUGGUGAGAGUGGAAAGCUCAUCAAGUGACGGUAACUACCCAGAAAGGGACGGCUAACUACGUG